This 224-nucleotide ribosomal RNA is filed under the name uncultured Porphyrobacter sp. Its description in RNAcentral is "partial 16S ribosomal RNA". It matches the Rfam family "Bacterial small subunit ribosomal RNA", at positions 1158 to 1382 of the family's 1533-position model. Lineage: Bacteria; Pseudomonadati; Pseudomonadota; Alphaproteobacteria; Sphingomonadales; Erythrobacteraceae. The record is from RNAcentral.
AUAAGCCGGAGGAAGGUGGGGAUGACGUCAAGCCUCAUGGCCCGUUACAGGCUGGGCUACACACGUGCUACAAUGGCAUCUACAGUGGGCAGCUAUUCCGCAAGGAUGCGCUAAUCUCCAAAAGAUGUCUCAGUUCGGAUUGUCCUCUGCAACUCGAGGGCAUGAAGGCGGAAUCGCUAGUAAUCGCGGAUCAGCAUGCCGCGGUGAAUACGUUCCCAGGCCUU